UUGUAUUUAUGUAUAUUUAAUAAUCCGAUUUGGCAAAUUUGAGAAAGACUAUUCGUUACUAAUUCAUUUCCCGAUACCCUCCGCCGCCUCCAUCCCCUCCCCGGACGUUUUUCUUCUCCGGUAACCUUGCUCAGCUCUGCCCUCUGAGAAGAGAGAGGGAACGAUUCUGAAAUCAUCUGUUGAUGAUCGGUUAUUGAGAUAGCUAGACAAGGAAUGGCGUGAGUGAAGAUCAACAGUAGGGCAGUUUGAGCUUGAGAAUCAUAGGAAGGAGUUGGACAAGAUUAAUAAGGAUAUUGCUAAGCGCAAAACAUAGUAAAGAAAUUGCAACAUUUACUCAAUCAGGCAAGGCAGGUGAAUUAUGAUUGAGUAGACAUUAUAGAAGAAUAGCAGGAUGAGACGCUCUUUCAUGUUGUAUGCUUUGAGUGUCAUAUCAGGUCCAGAUCUUCCUAACAAUGAAGAGACCAACCAAAUGAAAUGGAAAAAUGCAAGAGAAUAGAUUAGAGAUGGAUGAAUCCCACAUGUCCUUGUAAUAAGGUUAGUAAAAUCUAUCGAGACCUUAUAUAUAUAACAUAUAAGAUGUUUUUUUUUGUUCAAUUAAUGAAUGAUAUGGUUUUGCUAAACAUGGCAAGUAUUAGAGACCAUUGGUCUCAAAGGAAGUUAUAUAGUUUGUAAUCUACAAUCUGUUUAACAAAA
Molecule: long non-coding RNA, 693 nt
Organism: Cucumis sativus (cucumber)
Lineage: Eukaryota; Viridiplantae; Streptophyta; Magnoliopsida; Cucurbitales; Cucurbitaceae
Exons: 5
Source: RefSeq, a predicted model, not a curated record